GCGGACAUAGCUCAGAUGGUAGAGCGCGAUCCUUCCAAGUUCGAUGCCGCGAGUUCGAAUCUCGCUGUCCGCUCCA
Molecule: transfer RNA, 76 nt
Filed under: Rhodospirillales bacterium
Lineage: Bacteria; Pseudomonadati; Pseudomonadota; Alphaproteobacteria; Rhodospirillales
Also listed under: 1 other name
Description: tRNA-Gly
Rfam family: tRNA
About the family: Transfer RNA (tRNA) molecules are approximately 80 nucleotides in length.
Source: RNAcentral